UAACGCAAUAAGUAGACCGCCUGGGGAGUACGGUCGCAAGAUUAGAACUCAAAUGAAUUGACGGGGGCCCGCACAAGCGCUGGAUUAUGUGGAUUAAUUCGAUGCAACGCGAAAAACCUUACCUGGCCUUGACAUGUAGCGAACUUUCCAGAGAUGGAUUGGUGCCCGAAAGGGAGCGCUAACACAGGUGCUGCAUGGCUGUCGUCAGCUCGUGUCGUGAGAUGUUGGGUUAAGUUCCGCAACGAGCGCAACCCUUGCCAUUAAUUGCCAUCAUUUAGUUGGGCACUUUAAUGGGACUGCCGGUGACAAACCGGAGGAAGGUGGGGAUGACGUCAAGUCCUCAUGGCCCUUAUGGCCAGGGCUUCACACGUAAUACAAUGGUCGGUACAGAGGGUCGCCAACCCGCGAGGGGGAGCAAAUCCUAGAAAGCCGAUCGUAGUCCGGAUUGUAGUCUGCAACUCGACUACAUGAAGUCGGAAUCGCUAGUAAUCGCGGAUCAGCAUGUCGCGGUGAAUACGUUCCCGGGCCUUGUACACACCGCCCGUCACACCAUGGGAG
RNAcentral lists this ribosomal RNA (558 nucleotides) under uncultured bacterium. RNAcentral describes it as "bacterial SSU rRNA". It matches the Rfam family "Bacterial small subunit ribosomal RNA", at positions 853 to 1410 of the family's 1533-position model. The record is from RNAcentral.